Small nuclear RNA from Mesocricetus auratus (golden hamster), 103 nucleotides. The record is from RefSeq and is a predicted model, not a curated record. Lineage: Eukaryota; Metazoa; Chordata; Mammalia; Rodentia; Cricetidae.
UUGCGUUGGCCGCACAUAUACUAACAUUGGAAUGAUACAGAGAAGAUUAGCAUGGCACCUGCAUGAGGAUGGCAUGAAAAUUCAUUAAACACUUCACAUUUAA